This is a long non-coding RNA of Xenia sp. Carnegie-2017, 149 nucleotides long. RefSeq lists it as uncharacterized. Lineage: Eukaryota; Metazoa; Cnidaria; Anthozoa; Malacalcyonacea; Xeniidae. The record is from RefSeq and is a predicted model, not a curated record. The transcript is spliced from 3 exons.
AGCAGUGUUAUAAACGCAGAUUAUAUGAUGCUGCUGCUUCUUAAAAAAUGGAGAAAUAUUACAGAAUCCUACUACUGCUACUAAAAUUUCAUCUGCAAUGACGUUUAUGGAAGAUUGCUACAAAUUUACUUAAUUAACAACACUUUGUU